CAGUCGAGCGAUGGAUUAAGAGCUUGCUCUUAUGAAGUUAGCGGCGGACGGGUGAGUAACACGUGGGUAACCUGCCCAUAAGACUGGGAUAACUCCGGGAAACCGGGGCUAAUACCGGAUAACAUUUUGCACCGCAUGGUGCGAAAUUGAAAGGCGGCUUCGGCUGUCACUUAUGGAUGGACCCGCGUCGCAUUAGCUAGUUGGUGAGGUAACGGCUCACCAAGGCAACGAUGCGUAGCCGACCUGAGAGGGUGAUCGGCCACACUGGGACUGAGACACGGCCCAGACUCCUACGGGAGGCAGCAGUAGGGAAUCUUCCGCAAUGGACGAAAGUCUGACGGAGCAACGCCGCGUGAGUGAUGAAGGCUUUCGGGUCGUAAAACUCUGUUGUUAGGGAAGAACAAGUGCUAGUUGAAUAAGCUGGCACCUUGACGGUACCUAACCAGAAAGCCACGGCUAACUACGUGCCAGCAGCCGCGGUAAUACGUAGGUGGCAAGCGUUAUCCGGAAUUAUUGGGCGUAAAGCGCGCGCAGGUGGUUUCUUAAGUCUGAUGUGAAAGCCCACGGCUCAACCGUGGAGGGUCAUUGGAAACUGGGAGACUUGAGUGCAGAAGAGGAAAGUGGAAUUCCAUGUGUAGCGGUGAAAUGCGUAGAGAUAUGGAGGACACCAGUGGCGAAGGCGACUUUCUGGUCUGUAACUGACACUGAGGCGCGAAAGCGUGGGGAGCAAACAGGAUUAGAUA
Molecule: ribosomal RNA, 743 nt
Filed under: Bacillus sp. (in: firmicutes)
Lineage: Bacteria; Bacillati; Bacillota; Bacilli; Caryophanales; Bacillaceae
Description: bacterial SSU rRNA
Rfam family: Bacterial small subunit ribosomal RNA
Source: RNAcentral